AACGAACGCUGGCGGCAUGCCUAACACAUGCAAGUCGAACGAGACCUUCGGGUCUAGUGGCGCACGGGUGCGUAACGCGUGGGAACCUGCCCUUAGGUUCGGAAUAACUCCCCGAAAGGGGUGCUAAUACCGGAUAAUUUCUUCUGACCAAAGAUUUAUCGCCUUUGGAUGGGCCCGCGUUGGAUUAGCUAGUUGGUAUGGUAAAAGCCUACAAAGGCGACGAUCCAUAGCUGGUCUGAGAGGAUGAUCAGCCACACUGGGACUGAGACACGGCCCAGACUCCUACGGGAGGCAGCAGGGGGGAAUAUUGGACAAUGGGCGAAAGCCUGAUCCAGCAAUGCCGCGUGAGUGAUGAAGGCCUUAGGGUUGUAAAGCUCUUUUACCCGGGAUGAUAAUGACAGUACCGGGAGAAUAAACUCCGGCUAACUCCGU
RNAcentral lists this ribosomal RNA (432 nucleotides) under uncultured bacterium. RNAcentral describes it as "partial 16S ribosomal RNA". It matches the Rfam family "Bacterial small subunit ribosomal RNA", at positions 29 to 506 of the family's 1533-position model. The record is from RNAcentral.